UUUUAGCCGGUAGGAAGGUCAGGUCGGGUCAACGCGCAGCGACCCAAAUUCCGGGACACCGGGUUCAGCGUUGUUUACACGACGACGAGACUCGCACAGCGUCUACGCGCUAUCGUCCGGCCGAUUAUUGUCGUCAACGCCGGGGAUCGUCGCUAGUGGUGUCCAGGUAUCCCGGCUAACGAAAAUUGCCAGCUACACUCGCCAGUCGUAAUUCGAUCGGUGGUCCCGGUCGGGAAUUUUACCACAUUUCGUUCGCGCGAUCGCGAAAAGUGCCUCGCCCGCGAGUUGCCCACCUCCCGGCUGAACGCGUCCGCAAAAAAAUCGGCGCGCUUUCCACAUUAAUUGCGCAGUUUUCGCGUGUCGCGUUUUCGGUAAAUUUUUCGCGUCAGAAAAAUUUGGCGUCGGAAAAGUGUUUCGUCGCGUUACGCACUUCGUACGCGGUUACGUGUGCGCCGCUUCGCCGAUCCGGUGUAAUACACAUAAAUACAAUAACGCUCUCGCGAGUGAACUCUACCCGGAGAUUAGCACCGAGGCGAACAUGAGAGGACGGACGGACACCAACGGACAAACGGACUUACGUGUAUGAUACACACCGUGCAUCGCACACCUCUUUGAAACGAGAGACUCUAAUGGGCUGCGAAGAUUGUUACUCCCCCGAUCCGAGAACUGUACGGAUUUUAUACCAGAUCUUAACACUCUGAGGGGAAAAUUGUGUCGAAUACCCAGAGAAAGAAAAAAUUCAGCGACGCGAUCGUUUCCUUGAAGUUCUCACGCAACGUACGCGCAGCGGCAUCGAGAACGUUGAUUCAAUUAUUGCUGCUCCGAACUCCGAUCAAAAUUUUUGACGGAGGUCAAGGGAUAACUUAUAAGAUUCGACAGAAGGUGGAGCCAACAGACGAACACUAAUAACCAGUCGCUAUCAUUGAUUCGCGAAAGUACCAGAGAUGCUUCGCGAAUCCGUUGACGAAACGGAGAAUCUACCAUAGGAGUUGCGAAACAAACUUAUCAACGGCGCAAGGCGUCAUCGUUCGAAGUAGCGCUGCUGUGCUUUGCUACUUGGUGACAAGCUGAGUGACAACCUCAUGGCUCAACAUGCAGUUUAUUCCCAGAUUAUUGACUUUCUUCUCUUCUGCUGCGAAGCAAAAAUCUGCGGCUCCGGA
Athalia rosae (coleseed sawfly) is the source of this 1160-nucleotide long non-coding RNA. RefSeq lists it as uncharacterized. Lineage: Eukaryota; Metazoa; Arthropoda; Insecta; Hymenoptera; Athaliidae. The transcript is spliced from 5 exons. The record is from RefSeq and is a predicted model, not a curated record.